AAUAGCUCACUAGUCGAGUCGGCCUGCGCGGAAGAUGUAACGGGGCUCAAACUGGAUACCGAAGCUGCGGCUGCAUACUAUGUAUGCGGGGUAGGGGAGCGUUGUGUAAGUCUGUGAAGGUGUGUUGAGAAGCAUGCUGGAGAUAUCACAAGUGCGAAUGCUGACGUGAGUAACGAUAAUGGGAGUGAAAAACUCCCACGCCGAAAGACCAAGGUUUCCUGCGCAACGCUAAUCGGCGCAGGGUGAGUCGGCCCCUAAGGCGAGGCAGAAAUGCGUAGCUGAUGGGAAACGGGUUAAUAUUCCCGUACUUCUUAUAACUGCGAUGGAGAGACGGAGAAGGCUAUGCCUACCGGGCGUUGGUUGUCCCGGGGAAAGGCUGUAGGCUGAGGUGUUAGGCAAAUCCGGCACCUUAAGGCUGAGAGUCGAGACCACUGGUCCUUUGUGACCGGGAAGUGGUUGAUGCCAUGCUUCCAGGAAAAUCUUCUAAGCUUCAGGUUAUAAGGAACCGUACCCCAAACCGACACAGGUGGUUGGGAUGAGUAUUCUAAGGCGCUUGAGAGAACUCGGGUGAAGGAACUAGGCAAAGUGGUACCGUAACUUCGGGAGAAGGUACGCCGCUGAAGGUGAUGAGACUUGCUCUCUGAGCUAUCGGCGGUCGCAGUGAAAAGGCCCCUGCAACUGUUUAUUAAAAACACAGCACUCUGCAAACGCGUAAGCGGACGUAUAGGGUGUGACGCCUGCCCGGUGCCGGAAGGUUAAUUGAUGGGGUUAGCGUAUGCGAAGCUCUUGAUCGAAGCCCCGGUAAACGGCGGCCGUAACUAUAACGGUCCUAAGGUAGCGAAAUUCCUUGUCGGGUAAGUUCCGACCUGCACGAAUGGCGUAAUGAUGGGGGCGCUGUCUCCACCCGAGACUCAGUGAAAUCGAAAUCGCAGUGAAGAUGCUGUGUACCCGCGGCUAGACGGAAAGACCCCGUGAACCUUUACUAUAGCUUCACAGUGGACUUUGAACCUGUUUGUGUAGGAUAGCUGGGAGACUUUGAAGCAGUGACGCUAGUUACUGUGGAGUCGUCCUUGAAAUACCAGCCUGGCAUGUUUGAGGUUCUAACCUAGGUCCCUUAUCGGGAUCGGGGACAUUGUGUGGUGGGUAGUUUGACUGGGGCGGUCUCCUCCCAAAGAGUAACGGAGGAGC
This 1188-nucleotide ribosomal RNA is filed under the name seawater metagenome. Its description in RNAcentral is "bacterial LSU rRNA". It matches the Rfam family "Bacterial large subunit ribosomal RNA", at positions 1136 to 2309 of the family's 2925-position model. The record is from RNAcentral.